This 622-nucleotide ribosomal RNA is filed under the name Duganella sp. Se1Ps_2180. Its description in RNAcentral is "bacterial SSU rRNA". It matches the Rfam family "Bacterial small subunit ribosomal RNA", at positions 391 to 1006 of the family's 1533-position model. Lineage: Bacteria; Pseudomonadati; Pseudomonadota; Betaproteobacteria; Burkholderiales; Oxalobacteraceae. The record is from RNAcentral.
GCAAUGCCGCGUGAGUGAAGAAGGCCUUCGGGUUGUAAAGCUCUUUUGUCAGGGAAGAAAAGGCUACGGAUAAUACCUGUGGCUCAUGACGGUACCUGAAGAAUAAGCACCGGCUAACUACGUGCCAGCAGCCGCGGUAAUACGUAGGGUGCAAGCGUUAAUCGGAAUUACUGGGCGUAAAGCGUGCGCAGGCGGUUUUGUAAGACUGUCGUGAAAUCCCCGGGCUCAACCUGGGAAUGGCGAUGGUGACUGCAAGGCUAGAGUUUGGCAGAGGGGGGUAGAAUUCCACGUGUAGCAGUGAAAUGCGUAGAUAUGUGGAGGAACACCGAUGGCGAAGGCAGCCCCCUGGGUCAAAACUGACGCUCAUGCACGAAAGCGUGGGGAGCAAACAGGAUUAGAUACCCUGGUAGUCCACGCCCUAAACGAUGUCUACUAGUUGUCGGGUCUUAAUUGACUUGGUAACGCAGCUAACGCGUGAAGUAGACCGCCUGGGGAGUACGGUCGCAAGAUUAAAACUCAAAGGAAUUGACGGGGACCCGCACAAGCGGUGGAUGAUGUGGAUUAAUUCGAUGCAACGCGAAAAACCUUACCUACCCUUGACAUGGAUGGAAUCCUCGAGAGA